RNAcentral lists this ribosomal RNA (214 nucleotides) under uncultured bacterium. Its description in RNAcentral is "partial 16S ribosomal RNA". It matches the Rfam family "Bacterial small subunit ribosomal RNA", at positions 118 to 351 of the family's 1533-position model. The record is from RNAcentral.
UGGGAACCUUCCCUAUGGUUCGGAAUAGCCCAGGGAAACUUGGGGUAAUACCGAAUAAGCCCUUCGGGAGAAAGAUUUAUCGCCAUUGGAUGGGCCCGCGUCGGAUUAGCUAGUUGGUGGGUAACGGCCACCAAGGCGACGAUCCGUAGCUGGUCUGAGAGGAUGAUCAGCCACACUGGGACUGAGACACGGCCCAGACUCUUACGGGAGGCAG